Molecule: non-coding RNA, 295 nt
Organism: Chiloscyllium plagiosum (whitespotted bambooshark)
Lineage: Eukaryota; Metazoa; Chordata; Chondrichthyes; Orectolobiformes; Hemiscylliidae
Source: RefSeq, a predicted model, not a curated record
UGUAUCUGAUCCAGGAGGAAAUACCUGCACUGGCACUGUCACUAUCUAUAUCACUGAUGUCAAUGAUGAAGCUCCUGUCAUAAGUUUAUGCCCUUCGAGUCCAGUCUUGGUGGAUGAGGAAGUAAAUAUUGGCACAAAUGUCGCAUUUUUAUCAGCCUUUGACAAUGACAGCACUGACACUUUGACUUUCUCCUUCGCAAUCCCUGUAUCUGAGUUCGAUAUUAUUCAAGUUGGAAAUGAUGCAUGGAUUGUUACCAACUCCACGCUGGAUUAUGACACAGUUAGUUCCACAGAC